This 357-nucleotide ribosomal RNA is filed under the name Triticum aestivum (bread wheat). Its description in RNAcentral is "partial small subunit ribosomal RNA". The record is from RNAcentral. Lineage: Eukaryota; Viridiplantae; Streptophyta; Magnoliopsida; Poales; Poaceae.
AUGUACCUGAAGCGAUCGCUACAGAAGAAAGGCGAUAACGGCGCCACGAGGAUUCGCUGCCGUGAGGAGGACCCCGACCCGUAUGAUGGCCACCGGAAGGUCACACACUUCUUUGGCUCGCUCAGACUGGCUCCAUUGACGACUUCUCUAUGGUGUAUUUGUUGGGUUCCUCUUGGCGUGUUGAACAAAAAUUGGCGGUCAUCACUGCUAUUUAAAGUUGGUUUGAUCAGUACUAGGGAAAACCCAUAUAUGGAAGGAAAUUAUUGUAGGCAUCUAAGAAUGCUGAUGAUUACACUCCGAGCAAGCCUUGUUGCGGCGCUGCAAGUGUUGCCCCCCUCCUCCCCAAGGGCAAGGUGA